This 266-nucleotide ribosomal RNA is filed under the name uncultured archaeon. Its description in RNAcentral is "partial 16S ribosomal RNA". It matches the Rfam family "Archaeal small subunit ribosomal RNA", at positions 717 to 982 of the family's 1478-position model. The record is from RNAcentral.
ACACGACUACAUUAGAUACCCCCUGUAGUCCUAGCCGUAAACGAUACUCGCUAGGUGUCGGCCACGGUGCGACCGUUGUCGGUGCCGUAGGGAAGCCGUGAAGCGAGCCACCUGGGAAGUACGGCCGCAAGGCUGAAACUUAAAGGAAUUGGCGGGGGAGCACAACAACGGGUGGAGCUUGCGGUUUAAUUGGAUUCAACGCCGGAAAUCUUACCGGGAUCGACAGCAACAUGAAGGCCAAGCUGAAGACUUUGCCGGAUUAGCUG